RNAcentral lists this ribosomal RNA (527 nucleotides) under uncultured bacterium. RNAcentral's name for it is "bacterial SSU rRNA". It matches the Rfam family "Bacterial small subunit ribosomal RNA", at positions 777 to 1301 of the family's 1533-position model. The record is from RNAcentral.
AAUAGAUACCCUGGUAGUCCACGCCGUAAACGAUGAGUGCUAAGUGUUAGAGGGUUUCCGCCCUUUAGUGCUGCAGCUAACGCAUUAAGCACUCCGCCUGGGGAGUACGGUCGCAAGACUGAAACUCAAAGGAAUUGACGGGGGCCCGCACAAGCGGUGGAGCAUGUGGUUUAAUUCGAAGCAACGCGAAGAACCUUACCAGGUCUUGACAUCCUCUGACAACUCUAGAGAUAGAGCGUUCCCCUUCGGGGGACAGAGUGACAGGUGGUGCAUGGUUGUCGUCAGCUCGUGUCGUGAGAUGUUGGGUUAAGUCCCGCAACGAGCGCAACCCUUGAUCUUAGUUGCCAGCAUUUAGUUGGGCACUCUAAGGUGACUGCCGGUGACAAACCGGAGGAAGGUGGGGAUGACGUCAAAGUCAUCAUGCCCCUUAUGACCUGGGCUACACACGUGCUACAAUGGAUGGUACAAAGGGCUGCAAGACCGCGAGGUCAAGCCAAUCCCAUAAAACCAUUCUCAGUUCGGAUUGU